Molecule: long non-coding RNA, 658 nt
Filed under: Piliocolobus tephrosceles (Ugandan red Colobus)
Lineage: Eukaryota; Metazoa; Chordata; Mammalia; Primates; Cercopithecidae
Description: lncRNA (ENSPTEG00000016039.1)
Source: RNAcentral
CCCCGCGCGUCUCCCUCCUCCUCCCGUCCCUCGCUCGCUUGGCUCACUGUCGGCGCGCUAAGGUGACGACGGCGGCUGCCGGACUCGCAGCGUUCGGCCUACUCUCGCUCUGGCCCUGAGUGCAUGUUCGCAGUGCCCAGCCGGGCCGCAGGGGGGCGCUGGCAAACUGCUGUUUGCGACCGAGAAGCGUGGUGGGUGGAGUCACGUCACGCGGCCUGUGAGCGGGAGGAAGGGCAGCUGCGAUGGAGGGGCCUUCUGGGAAACGUCCUUCCUGCCCCGCCUUUCGCCCACGCUGCGGAUGGUGCGCCUGCGCAGUGCGUGGACUUUGGCCUCAGCGCUCUUUUGGCAGUUUUACAGGCUGCGUCGUGGAGGACAAUGAAAGAGGCUUUAAGUGCAGGACCUCCAGCUUCCUGCCCAGUGGUACCUGCUUGGCCGUUAUGACCACCAGGCAACUCAGGAAAGGCCUAGGCCAUCCGAUUACCAGAAGCUGCCCCUUCAACAUCUUCAACAGCCACUUGGAAAAGGCCAGGAACUAUUUUACCAAAGGGAUUUAAGUCUGCACUGCAGAUGGCAUGACCUUGCUCCAUAACCGUAGAGAUCUGUGUUGUGAUCUUCAAAUGGGACUUGAUAUAAACUUUUUUAUUUUUACAAAGGCAAG